This 465-nucleotide ribosomal RNA is filed under the name uncultured bacterium. RNAcentral describes it as "partial 16S ribosomal RNA". It matches the Rfam family "Bacterial small subunit ribosomal RNA", at positions 338 to 795 of the family's 1533-position model. The record is from RNAcentral.
CCUACGGGAGGCAGCAGUGGGGAAUAUUGCGCAAUGAGCGAAAGCUUGAUGCAGCGACGCCGCGUGAGGGAUGAAGGUCUUCGGAUCGUAAACCGCUGUCAGCAGGGAAGAACGGUCACUGUAGUAAUCAGCAGUGAAUUGACGGUACCUGCAAAGAAAGCAAUGGCUAACUCCGUGCCAGCAGCCGCGGUAAUACGGAGGGUGCGAGCGUUAAUCGGAAUUACUGGGCGUAAAGCGCUCGUAGGCGGUAUGUCAAGUCAGGGGUGAAAUCCCCGCGCUCAACGUGGGAACCGCCUUUGAAACUGGCAAACUAGAGUGUGUUAGAGGAAAGUGGAAUUCCAGGUGAAGCGGUGAAAUCCGUAGAUAUCUGGAGGAACACCAGAGGCGAAGGCGACUAUCUGGCACAAUACUGACGCUGAGGAGCGAAAGCGUGGGUAGCAAACAGGAUUAGAUACCCUAGUAGUC